ACAGCCUGCAACCCGGCUGUAUGAAGCUGGAAUCGCUAGUAAUCGCAGAUCAGAAUGCUGCGGUGAAUACGUUCCCGGGUCUUGUACACACCGCCCGUCACACCAUGGGAGCCAGGAAUGCCCGAAGCCAGUGGCCUAACCGCAAGGGAGGAGCUGUCGAAGGCAGGCCCGGUAACUGGGGUGAAGUCGUAACAAGGUAUC
RNAcentral lists this ribosomal RNA (201 nucleotides) under uncultured bacterium. RNAcentral's name for it is "partial 16S ribosomal RNA". It matches the Rfam family "Bacterial small subunit ribosomal RNA", at positions 1300 to 1500 of the family's 1533-position model. The record is from RNAcentral.